Molecule: ribosomal RNA, 253 nt
Filed under: uncultured bacterium
Lineage: Bacteria
Description: partial 16S ribosomal RNA
Rfam family: Bacterial small subunit ribosomal RNA
Source: RNAcentral
UACAGAGGUCCCAAGCGUUGUUCGGAUUCACUGGGCGUAAAGGGUGCGUAGGUGGUCAGGUAAGUCGGAUGUGAAAUCUCGGAGCUUAACUCCGAAACUGCAUUGGAAACUACCUGGCUCGAGGAAUGGAGGGGGGACUGGAAUUCUCGGUGUAGCAGUGAAAUGCGUAGAUAUCGAGAGGAACACCAGUGGCGAAGGCGAGUCCCUGGACAACACCUGACACUGAGGCACGAAAGCUAGGGGAGCAAACAGG